Molecule: non-coding RNA, 26 nt
Filed under: Drosophila melanogaster (fruit fly)
Lineage: Eukaryota; Metazoa; Arthropoda; Insecta; Diptera; Drosophilidae
Source: RNAcentral
AACAACAGAAGAGAACCGGACCCUAU